UCCUUGAAAGCAUUGAUCUAUGGAACUGGUGUGUACUUAUCACCAAUGCAUGCUUCAAAAGAAGUAGCAUACCAAAUUUUUUCAUCACUAAGACCAUAUAAAUUGAAGAUUGCAGAAGCUUCAAGAGAUCGGUGCCUGGGAACUGCAGUUGAGGUUGCACUGGGCAUAAUUCAAGGACCAUCUGCAGAAAUGUCUCGAGGUGUAGUCAAAAGGGCUGGAGGUAAUAGCAGAAUUAUUGUGUGUGCUGGUGGACCUAAUACUUAUGGCCCUGGAUCAGUCCCACAUUCUUUUAGUCACCCAAAUUA
Molecule: unclassified non-coding RNA, 305 nt
Filed under: Hevea brasiliensis (rubber tree)
Lineage: Eukaryota; Viridiplantae; Streptophyta; Magnoliopsida; Malpighiales; Euphorbiaceae
Source: RNAcentral